UACGUAGGGUGCAAGCGUUAAUCGGAAUUACUGGGCGUAAAGCGUGCGCAGGCGGUUGUGCAAGACCGAUGUGAAAUCCCCGGGCUUAACCUGGGAAUGGCAUUGGUGACUGCACGGCUAGAGUGUGUCAGAGGGGGGGUAGAAUUCCACGUGUAGCAGUGAAAAUGCGUAGAGAUGUGGAGGAACACCCGAUGGCGAAGGCAGCCCCCUGGGUCAAGAUUGACGCUCAUGCACGAAAGCGUGGGG
RNAcentral lists this ribosomal RNA (246 nucleotides) under uncultured bacterium. RNAcentral's name for it is "partial 16S ribosomal RNA". It matches the Rfam family "Bacterial small subunit ribosomal RNA", at positions 524 to 766 of the family's 1533-position model. The record is from RNAcentral.